GUUCCAUCAGAUGACCUUGCUUCACUAGUGGUCCAUAACAAACUACAGUAUUAAAGCUGAAAUCUGAAAUUUGGGAGUAAACAGGUUGAUAUGAAGAUAAUAGUCUGGAGCAGAGAAGUAGUGGAAGAUACCCACCAAAAGAGUGAGCAAUGAGCUGUUUCAACUUGCAGGUACAAAACCCGUCUAUUAGCACAUUAUGCCUACAUACAGCUAGUGGAACAGAGGCUGCUAAAUUUUCAGAGCCUUUUAUGUUGAUCUCUUCCUCCAAAAGGUCUUAAUUAAAGCUCUACAGAAGCAGCUGUGAUUCAGGUAAACUUUUAUUCUACUUUUAAGAAUUUCUCCAUAUUUUGCAAGGUUUGAUUUAAACCAUGUAACUAUGUUCACAUGCUUCAGUAUUUAGUUGAAUUGCGUGCAGAC
This 417-nucleotide long non-coding RNA is filed under the name Phasianus colchicus (ring-necked pheasant). RNAcentral's name for it is "lncRNA (ENSPCLG00000012057.1)". The record is from RNAcentral. Lineage: Eukaryota; Metazoa; Chordata; Aves; Galliformes; Phasianidae.